AAAUUGAAGAGUUUGAUCAUGGCUCAGAUUGAACGCUGGCGGCAGGCCUAACACAUGCAAGUCGAACGGUAACAGGAAGCAGCUUGCUGCUUUGCUGACGAGUGGCGGACGGGUGAGUAAUGUCUGGGAAACUGCCUGAUGGAGGGGGAUAACUACUGGAAACGGUGGCUAAUACCGCAUAAUGUCGCAAGACCAAAGAGGGGGACCUUCGGGCCUCUUGCCAUCAGAUGUGCCCAGAUGGGAUUAGCUUGUUGGUGAGGUAACGGCUCACCAAGGCGACGAUCCCUAGCUGGUCUGAGAGGAUGACCAGCCACACUGGAACUGAGACACGGUCCAGACUCCUACGGGAGGCAGCAG
RNAcentral lists this ribosomal RNA (357 nucleotides) under Salmonella enterica. RNAcentral's name for it is "partial 16S ribosomal RNA". It matches the Rfam family "Bacterial small subunit ribosomal RNA", at positions 1 to 354 of the family's 1533-position model. RNAcentral also lists the same sequence under 1 other name. Lineage: Bacteria; Pseudomonadati; Pseudomonadota; Gammaproteobacteria; Enterobacterales; Enterobacteriaceae. The record is from RNAcentral.